UACGUAGGCAGCGAGCGUUGUUCGGAGUUACUGGGCGUAAAGCGUGCGUAGGCGGUUUUGUAAGUUUGGUGUGAAAUCUCCCGGCUCAACUGGGAGGGUGCGCCGAAAACUGCAAGGCUGGAGUGUGGGAGAGGUAGGCGGAAUUCCCGGUGUAGCGGUGAAAUGCGUAGAUAUCGGGAGGAACAUCAGUGGCGAAGGCGGCCUUCUGGUCCAGUACUGACACUCAAGUGCGAAAGCGUGGGGAGCAAACAGG
RNAcentral lists this ribosomal RNA (253 nucleotides) under uncultured bacterium. RNAcentral describes it as "partial 16S ribosomal RNA". It matches the Rfam family "Bacterial small subunit ribosomal RNA", at positions 524 to 776 of the family's 1533-position model. The record is from RNAcentral.